CCAGAGUCUACAGUAGUGUACCGUCCCAGGCCUCCACAUUCACUCAGCACUCACUCACUGGCUCACCCAGAGCACCCUCCAGUCCUGCCAGCUCCAUUCAUGGUAAGUGCCCUGUGCAGGUGUGCCAGUUUUCCUCUUAUACCAUAUUUUUACUGUCCCUUUUCUAUGUUUAGAUACACAAAUACCACUGUAUUACAGCUGCCUACGGGAUCCAGUGCAGUCACAGGCUGUGCAGGUUUGUGGCCUAGGAGCCGCAGGACACACCAUCUAGGUCUGUGUGACACACUGUGGUGCUGGCAUGACAACCACAUCCCCAAACGAUGCAUUUCUCAGAAGGCAUCCCUGUUGUGGACGGACGGAUGUCUGUAUGUGCUUCUUCACAGGACUGAGAGCCCUGGCCUAGACCCUCAGCACACCCUCACAUCAUCAUUUCUCAUGAGAAAGAUGAAAUGAGAUGGCACUUGAAGGCGUGCCAGUAACACCGCUAACCAGAGAGAGGUGGCCACGCAGGAGGAGAAAUAGCAUGGAUGUUCUGGGAUCACUGAGGACCUAUUAACUGACCAGUUUUGGACAGAAGCUGAAGCAUUAACAGGACUAGCCCUGUUGACACUGGAAUUCCCGUUAGGACUCGACAUGGAACUGCUUGGCGUGUCUUUCAAUGGUCCAGUCCCAUUUAAGUGAGGUGGAUUCUGGAAGACUAACAAGUUUCAUACACCUGGAAAUGUUCUCUGUUUUUCUCAAUCCCUCCUACCCGCGCAUACUUUCCACAGGCCCUAGUUUUCUGGCAAUAAAUCAACAAACAGGACAUACAUGUUUCACAGAAAACAAUCCUCCGACCAAACUCGUUCUGUCCCAGAUCUGAUCGAAAUCAGCAGGACCUGUGGCAUGGAGUCACACACUUGCU
RNAcentral lists this long non-coding RNA (904 nucleotides) under Homo sapiens (human). Its description in RNAcentral is "PREDICTED lncRNA (TCONS_00242160)". Lineage: Eukaryota; Metazoa; Chordata; Mammalia; Primates; Hominidae. The record is from RNAcentral.